AUACAUGUUAAAUUAUUUUAGUUUUCUUUUUUAAAGGAGAUGAAUUUAAUUCGGUGUGGAUCCCGUCUCUAGAAAAUAUAGGGUCUUUGGGCUUGAACUUCCAAAUAUUCGAAUAACAAAAAAAAUUAUUUUAGUU
RNAcentral lists this small RNA (136 nucleotides) under Arabidopsis thaliana (thale cress). RNAcentral describes it as "ATSL110820". The record is from RNAcentral. Lineage: Eukaryota; Viridiplantae; Streptophyta; Magnoliopsida; Brassicales; Brassicaceae.